AUUCCCGCCGCGCGCGGCGGGCGGGGCGGGGGCACGGGGGGCCUAGGGAGGCAGCAGUGAGGAAUAUUGGUCAAUGGGCGAGAGCCUGAACCAGCCAAGUAGCGUGCAGGAUGACGGCCCUAUGGGUUGUAAACUGCUUUUAUACGGGGAUAAAGUGAGGGACGUGUCCCUUUUUGUAGGUACCGUAUGAAUAAGGACCGGCUAAUUCCGUGCCAGCAGCCGCGGUAAUA
Molecule: ribosomal RNA, 230 nt
Filed under: uncultured soil bacterium
Lineage: Bacteria
Description: partial 16S ribosomal RNA
Rfam family: Bacterial small subunit ribosomal RNA
Source: RNAcentral